GGUUCAGAAUGAAAUGGUACAACGUACAAGCAUUGAAGAAUAAAGGCUUGUACAAUGUACAAUAUUCCGCUUCAUACCCGGAGUGUCAUAGGUUCGAGUCCUAUUUGAGCCA
RNAcentral lists this transfer RNA (112 nucleotides) under Clostridia bacterium. RNAcentral's name for it is "tRNA-OTHER". Lineage: Bacteria; Bacillati; Bacillota; Clostridia. The record is from RNAcentral.